AGGAUGGGCCCGCGUCCCAUUAGCUGGUUGGUGAGGUAAAGGCCCACCAAGGCAACGAUGGGUAUCCGGCCUGAGAGGGUGAACGGACACAUUGGGACUGAGAUACGGCCCAAACUCCUACGGGAGGCAGCAGCUAAGAAUCUUCCGCAAUGGACGAAAGUCUGACGGAGCGACGCCGUGUGAAUGAAGAAGGCCGAAAGGUUGUAAAAUUCUUUUGCAGAUGAAGAAUAAGAAGAAGAGGGAAUGCUU
This 249-nucleotide ribosomal RNA is filed under the name Treponema denticola. RNAcentral's name for it is "partial 16S ribosomal RNA". It matches the Rfam family "Bacterial small subunit ribosomal RNA", at positions 222 to 469 of the family's 1533-position model. The record is from RNAcentral. Lineage: Bacteria; Pseudomonadati; Spirochaetota; Spirochaetia; Treponematales; Treponemataceae.